AAGUCGUAACAAGGUCUCCGUUGGUGAACCAGCGGAGGGAUCAUUACAGAGUUAUCUAACUCCCAAACCCAUGUGAACUUACCUUUGUUGCCUCGGCAGUAGUUGCUGGGCGAGCCUACCCGGGAACGAGCUACCCUGUAGCGAGUUACCCUGGAACGACUUACCCUGUAACGCCUGCCGGUGGACUACUAAACUCUUGUUAUUUUUAAGUAAUCUGAGCGUCUUAUUUUAAUAAGUCAAAACUUUCAACAACGGAUCUCUUGGUUCUG
This 269-nucleotide unclassified non-coding RNA is filed under the name Bartalinia robillardoides. Its description in RNAcentral is "partial internal transcribed spacer region". The stretch from base 1 to 46 matches the Rfam family "Eukaryotic small subunit ribosomal RNA", at positions 1786 to 1831 of the family's 1831-position model. Lineage: Eukaryota; Fungi; Ascomycota; Sordariomycetes; Amphisphaeriales; Sporocadaceae. The record is from RNAcentral.